This is a long non-coding RNA of Stegodyphus dumicola, 575 nucleotides long. Lineage: Eukaryota; Metazoa; Arthropoda; Arachnida; Araneae; Eresidae. The record is from RefSeq and is a predicted model, not a curated record.
UUUCAGCUGAUGGAAUACGAUGGUGAUAAGCAGUUGUUUCUGGAUAGUUAAAAGUGUAAUGGUCAAGGGUCUCCAAGGCCUCCACAUGCAUGGCGUACUGUCUCGGAAGCUAAAACGAAAUAAUCAAAAAAUUCAAGGCAAUCAAAGAAUUUCAUGUUGUACGAGUUUACACAGACUCUGGUGUUGUCUAUCGUAUGUGUUGUCUGUAUUCGCCUGAAAUGUUACAUGAAAAUUUUAUUUGGGAAGCUGAAGAUUUAGUUCGGAUUAAGUGUAUUUAAAGCUAUGCUUCCUUCCAGUAUAUACAGUAUUCUAUAUAAAUCUCUUUUGUCGAAUGUUUACUCGUGUAUUUUCUCUGUAUGACAUUUUUUAUCUAAAUAAAUUACAUAUAAAGUAUGUAAAUACAUUCGUACUUAUACAUUACAUAAAUACACGUCUUGACAGGGAAAACAUAAAAUUAGAGUUCGAUAAAACAUAUAUAUCGAGUUCUAAUUUUAGGUUUUCCCUAUCAAGACGUGCAGUUUGAUAAUGCAUCUACAUCACUUAAUGUAUCUACAUCACUUUCAUCAUAUAAAGCA